GACGAACGCUGGCGGCGCGCCUAACACAUGCAAGUCGAACGAGCAAGAGGAGGUUUACUUUCUCAAGCGAGUGGCGAACGGGUGAGUAACGCGUGAGGAACCUGCCUCAAAGAGGGGGACAACAGUUGGAAACGACUGCUAAUACCGCAUAAGCCCACGACCCGGCAUCGGGUAGAGGGAAAAGGAGCAAUCCGCUUUGAGAUGGCCUCGCGUCCGAUUAGCUAGUUGGUGAGGUAAUGGCCCACCAAGGCGACGAUCGGUAGCCGGACUGAGAGGUUGAACGGCCACAUUGGGACUGAGACACGGCCCAGACUCCUACGGGAGGCAGCAGUGGGGAAUAUUGCACAAUGGGGGAAACCCUGAUGCAGCGACGCCGCGUGGAGGAAGAAGGUCUUCGGAUUGUAAACUCCUGUUGUUGAGGAAGAUAAUGACGGUACUCAACAAGGAAGUGACGGCUAACUACGUG
RNAcentral lists this ribosomal RNA (466 nucleotides) under uncultured bacterium. Its description in RNAcentral is "partial 16S ribosomal RNA". It matches the Rfam family "Bacterial small subunit ribosomal RNA", at positions 28 to 507 of the family's 1533-position model. The record is from RNAcentral.